GCUGCAUUUGACAAGUGGUUAAGUCACCAGACCCUCAAUCUGGCCAUCGGAGGUUCGAAUCCUCCAUGCAGUA
RNAcentral lists this transfer RNA (73 nucleotides) under Crassvirales sp. RNAcentral describes it as "tRNA-Glu". It matches the Rfam family "tRNA". From Rfam's summary of the family: Transfer RNA (tRNA) molecules are approximately 80 nucleotides in length. Their secondary structure includes four short double-helical elements and three loops (D, anti-codon, and T loops). Lineage: Duplodnaviria; Heunggongvirae; Uroviricota; Caudoviricetes; Crassvirales. The record is from RNAcentral.